CAGCGACAAUUUCUCAGGAAAACGCGUC
Molecule: small RNA, 28 nt
Filed under: Bombyx mori (domestic silkworm)
Lineage: Eukaryota; Metazoa; Arthropoda; Insecta; Lepidoptera; Bombycidae
Description: ovarian small RNA-4713
Source: RNAcentral